Molecule: small RNA, 885 nt
Filed under: Pan troglodytes (chimpanzee)
Lineage: Eukaryota; Metazoa; Chordata; Mammalia; Primates; Hominidae
Description: processed transcript
Source: RNAcentral
GUCAUGGGGCCUUGGAGUCGAGUCAGGGUUGCCAAAUGCCAGAUGCUGGUCACCUGCUUCUUUAUCUUGCUGCUGGGCCUCUCUGUGGCCACCAUGGUGACUCUUACCUACUUCGGGGCCCACUUUGCUGUCAUCCGCCGAGCAUCCCUGGAGAAGAACCCGUACCAGGCUGUGCACCAAUGGGCCUUCUCUGCGGGGUUGAGCCUGGUGGGCCUCCUGACUCUGGGAGCCGUGCUGAGCGCUGUAGCCACCGUGAAGGAGGCCCAGGGCCUCAUGGCGGGGGUGGAGGACGCCAUGCUGGACACCUACGACCUGGUAUAUGAGCAGGCGAUGAAAGGCACGUCCCACGUCCGGCGGCAGGAGCUGGCGGCCAUCCAGGACGUGUUUCUGUGCUGUGGGAAGAGGUCUCCUUUCAGCCGUCUGGGGAGCACAGAGGCUGACCUGUGUCAGGGAGAGGAGGCGGCGAGAGAGUGGGAGGCACCUGGCGACCCUCCAAGAAACAGAGGGGAGGAGAGCAAAUGGCUGGAGGCCUGAUGAGGGGUGGAGCCACAGCCCAGGCUCCGAGGGCAGAAGGGCUGGCGCUGAGGACGGUGCUGGGGAGGGACCAGCGGCAUCGGGGGCAGGGCUAACAGUCAGGACCCCUGUGCCACCCAAGGAGAGACCCCAGGUCCCCCGACUGAAAAGCAGGAGCGAGGUCCUGCCUCGAGCACCCUUGGGAUGGCAGGGCCAUGGGCCUGACUGCAAAGCCUCCUGGGGAGCCAGAAGAGCCAGCACAGGCGGCAGGCACGGAGCCACCCAGAUGGGCCGGCAUGGGCGGGAGGGAGGCAGACCUGCCUGCGGGGGACAGGAGGGUGAGCCCUGAGACCCUGCGGAGGCCUCCACAGG